This 725-nucleotide ribosomal RNA is filed under the name uncultured Acidobacteriota bacterium. RNAcentral's name for it is "bacterial SSU rRNA". It matches the Rfam family "Bacterial small subunit ribosomal RNA", at positions 61 to 819 of the family's 1533-position model. The record is from RNAcentral. Lineage: Bacteria; Pseudomonadati; Acidobacteriota.
GUCGAACGAGAAAGUGGAGCAAUCCAUGAGUAAAGUGGCGCACGGGUGAGUAACACGUGACUAACCUACCCUGGAGUGGGGGAUAACUGAGGGAAACCUUAGCUAAUACCGCAUAACACCUACGGGUCAAAGGAGCAAUUCGCUUUAGGAGGGGGUCGCGGCAGAUUAGCUAGUUGGCGGGGUAAUGGCCCACCAAGGCAGUGAUCUGUAUCCGGCCUGAGAGGGCGCACGGACACACUGGAACUGAAACACGGUCCAGACUCCUACGGGAGGCAGCAGUGGGGAAUUUUGCGCAAUGGGGGAAACCCUGACGCAGCAACGCCGCGUGGAGGAUGAAGUCUCUUGGGACGUAAACUCCUUUCGAUUGGGAAGAUUAUGACGGUACCAAUAGAAGAAGCCCCGGCUAACUUCGUGCCAGCAGCCGCGGUAAUACGAGGGGGGCAAGCGUUGUUCGGAAUUAUUGGGCGUAAAGGGUGCGUAGGCGGUUUGGUAAGUCUUGUGUGAAAUCUUCGGGCUCAACUCGAAGUCUGCACGAGAAACUGCCGGGCUUGAGUGUGGGAGAGGUGAGUGGAAUUUCCGGUGUAGGGUGAAAUGCGUAGAUAUCGGAAGGAACACCUGUGGCGAAAGCGGCUCACUGGACCACAACUGACGCUGAGGCACGAAAGCUAGGGGAGCAAACAGGAUUAGAUACCCUGGUAGUCCUAGCCCUAAACGAUGAUCGCUUG